Molecule: ribosomal RNA, 253 nt
Filed under: uncultured bacterium
Lineage: Bacteria
Description: partial 16S ribosomal RNA
Rfam family: Bacterial small subunit ribosomal RNA
Source: RNAcentral
UACGAAGGGGGCUAGCGUUGCUCGGAAUCACUGGGCGUAAAGCGCACGUAGGCGGCUUUCUAAGUCAGGGGUGAAAUCCUGGAGCUCAACUCCAGAACUGCCUUUGAUACUGGAGAGCUUGAGUCCGGGAGAGGUGAGUGGAACUCCGAGUGUAGAGGUGAAAUUCGUAGAUAUUCGGAAGAACACCCGUGGCGAAAGCGGCUCUCUGGAACGGUACUGACACUGAGGCGCGAAAGCGUGGGGAGCGAACAGG